GACGUAGGGCGCGAGCGUUGUCCGGAUUUAUUGGGCGUAAAGAGCUCGUAGGCGGCUUGUCGCGUCGACUGUGAAAACCCGCGGCUCAACUGCGGGCCUGCAGCCGAUACGGGCAGGCUAGAGUUCGGUAGGGGAGACUGGAAUUCCUGGUGUAGCGGUGAAAUGCGCAGAUAUCGGGAAGAACACCCGUGGCGAAGGCGGUUCUCUGGGACGGUACUGACGCUGAGACGCGAAAGCGUGGGGAGCGAACAGG
Molecule: ribosomal RNA, 253 nt
Filed under: uncultured bacterium
Lineage: Bacteria
Description: partial 16S ribosomal RNA
Rfam family: Bacterial small subunit ribosomal RNA
Source: RNAcentral